Molecule: long non-coding RNA, 1114 nt
Organism: Rosa rugosa (rugosa rose)
Lineage: Eukaryota; Viridiplantae; Streptophyta; Magnoliopsida; Rosales; Rosaceae
Exons: 4
Source: RefSeq, a predicted model, not a curated record
AAAAAAUAAUUGCAAUGGCCACCACAGUUAGCGUCGGCGCAAAAAUGCCGUCGCCAUUGGUCAUAGAUUUGCUACGGGAAACAAGGCGUAGCAAAAAUAAAAAUUAGUUUGCGACGGCAAAGGAGAGCCGUAGCAUAUAUGCUACACAUGGUUAGCGUCGGUACUCAAUUGCCGUCGCCAAAGCUCCUAUAUUUGCUACGGCAAAGCAUGUAGUCGCAAAAGUAUAAUAGGUUUACGUCAGCAGUAUGACGCCGUCGCUAAAAUCACUGGGCUUUGCUACUGCGAAUGUCUUCCGUCGUAUGAUUCAUUCCUCUCACAUUUAACUCUCACUCUCUCUCGAUCAGUUUCCCCAUUUGUAGCGUUGCCUCUUUCUCUUUCUCUCUCUGAUUCCUUCCCAACCCCAAAACAUGACCCUCCCCAAUCCAUGAAGAUCAAUACCAGAUCCGGAACACCCACCGCCACCUUCCUCCAACCCACCAUCAAGGGAUCGCCUGCUGCAAGAUCUGAAAUCCCAAUCUCCAAUGAAUUUGAGCCGCGAUCCGAUUGGAUCUAACCACAAAUCCAUAAACCAGAUCGAAAACGAAACCCUGUAACACAACUGGUCUCCACCACUUGCCACUAACCCAAAUCCUGUGUAACCUCCAUCCUCGACACCACGCGCCGUCUGGAUACCCAUGGUUCAGAUCUCCCCCACCUUCCCUCUUCUCUGCGCCAGCCAGCUCUUCCUCCGCCUCUGCCGCCUCUGUCGAAACGCUCCUACUAUAUAAACCCUUAACAAAUCUCCCUCUUUCAUUUUCAGUUCUCAGCGCCACUUGCACUACUUCUUUUCGACCUCAAAAACUCAAAUGCUUUGCCGAAUCAGCAGACCGUGGAGUACCCGAGCUUCAAGCUCGUAAUCGUUGGUGAUGGUGGAACAGCAUAAAUAGAAAGGUGUUUGUUUGGGAACUUUGGGUUGUCUUCAUGAUCUGUGAAGAAAGGGGCAGGCCGGUCGGAUUUGUAGUUCUCUGUAUUUGCCGUUGUUGCUGGUUUGAUUUGUGGUUUUGUGUUUAUAAAGGCUUAGCUACUGCAGUGAAAGAGAGAAGAGGGCAAAUCAGUUUGUAUUUCCUUUGUAAAG